This 484-nucleotide ribosomal RNA is filed under the name uncultured bacterium. RNAcentral describes it as "partial 16S ribosomal RNA". It matches the Rfam family "Bacterial small subunit ribosomal RNA", at positions 29 to 507 of the family's 1533-position model. The record is from RNAcentral.
AUUGAACGCUGGCGGCAUGCUUUACACAUGCAAGUCGAACGGCAGCGCGGGCUUCGGCCUGGCGGCGAGUGGCGAACGGGUGAGUAAUACAUCGGAACGUGCCCAGUAGUGGGGGAUAGCUCGGCGAAAGCCGGAUUAAUACCGCAUACGACCUGAGGGUGAAAGCGGGGGAUCUUCGGACCUCGCGCUAUUGGAGCGGCCGAUGGCAGAUUAGCUAGUUGGUGGGGUAAAGGCCUACCAAGGCGACGAUCUGUAGCUGGUCUGAGAGGACGACCAGCCACACUGGGACUGAGACACGGCCCAGACUACUACGGGAGGCAGCAGUGGGGAAUUUUGGACAAUGGGCGAAAGCCUGAACCAGCAAUGCCGCGUGUGUGAUGAAGGCCUUCGGGUUGUAAAGCACUUUUGGCGGGAACGAAAAGGACUGUGCCAAUACCACGGUUCGAUGACGGUACCCGCAGAAUAAGCACCGGCUAACUACGUG